AUGCACACUGAAAAGAAUGUCGGCAAGGCCCUCUUUGGUACAUUGUUCGGCAUAGAGGGGAAAAUGAAGGAUAAUCCUAAGGCCAGAGUCGAUCAGGAGGCUCUAUGUGAUAGACCGCUACAAAACAUGAAACAACCAAAAGGAAAGAAGAACUGGGCGAAGCCAAAGGCAUGGUUCAAUCUUGGAAGGCCGGUUAUGAGGGAAAUACUCCUGUGGGUGAAAAAGGAGUUGAUGUUCCCCGAUGGGUAUGCAUCGAAUCUAAAAAGGGGAGCGAGCCUUGAAAAAUUGAAAAUAUUUGGUCUCAAGAGUCAUGAUUGGCACAUAUGGCUUGAGCGGGUAAUGCCGGUGAUGUUGCGUGGCUUUAUCCCUGAGGAUGAAUGGCUAGUACUAGCAGAGCUGAGCUAUUUCUUCCGUGUUCUAUGUGCGAAAGAAUUAUCGCCUGGCUUGCUAGAAGAAAUGGAAGAGUUGGCGCCGGAGUUGAUCUGCAAGUUGGAGAAGAUCUUUCCACCUGGCUUCUUUAAUACAAUGCAGCAUUUGAUUUUGCAUCUCCCGACCGAGGCACGAUUGGGGGGGGGGGCGUGCAGAAUCGUUGGUGCUACGCAACUGAGAGGAUGCAGAAGACGCUUCAAGCAAAAUGUAAAAAUAAACAUCGAAUUGAAGCAUCAAUGGCCGAGGCAUUCAUUACUGAGGAGGCGGCAAACUUCGUGA
This 708-nucleotide ribosomal RNA is filed under the name Triticum aestivum (bread wheat). Its description in RNAcentral is "partial small subunit ribosomal RNA". Lineage: Eukaryota; Viridiplantae; Streptophyta; Magnoliopsida; Poales; Poaceae. The record is from RNAcentral.